Molecule: long non-coding RNA, 843 nt
Filed under: Homo sapiens (human)
Lineage: Eukaryota; Metazoa; Chordata; Mammalia; Primates; Hominidae
Source: RNAcentral
CAGAAAGAACGGGGGUGGGGGAAGGAAGGAAAGCACGCUUCGCCAGGAUCCAGCUGUUUUCUAACAAACCUAAGCCUACGGAAGCUAGGAAGAUAUCGGAAGCAAGGAAGAUAUCGGAAGCGACGGCAUCCCUCAAAUUCGAGAGGGCGGAUGCCUCUAGGGCUAGAGAGGCUCCCUAGCCCUCAGUUACAGAGCGACUGGGAGGGGACAAAAUGGAGUUGAGGUUUAGGGGCACCCUAAAGGUCGUUUGGAGGUCUAGCAAGCACUUCAUGGUCUCCUCCGGAAAGGGCCGUGGCAAAGCCUAGUACCCCGAUCAGGAAGAUGACUUCUGGCCCUCGGGAUGCGGUGAGCGGCAGGAAGAGGCAGGCUGGGGUUCCGAGGACCCCAGAGUCCAUCACAGGAGCAGAUACAGUGACCUCGGGAAUCUUCCCGGCCCCAGCGGAGGCGAGCGGAUAGAUAGCCCUGGCUCAAGGAAAAAAGCGAGCCGACUCCAGGAGCUGGAAUGCCCACCCAACCUCCUCCCGGCUCAGGUGAGGUACGCCAGUCCCCCUCUGGAAAUGGGGCCCUGGUACCGACAGGGCAGGGGUGCCGGGGCCGCAACCUCCCCAUCCAGGGAUACUCACCGGAGGGGCGGCCCACCGCGUCUUCGCAGCCGGCCGGCGCCUGGCACUCGGAAAGCUCGCAAAAAGGAACCGCGUGCCCGCUAGCGCUGGGACGAGGAGGAGCGCGCGGCGGAGGCCAGAGAAAAAGCCGCAGCGGCGCGCGCGCACCCGGACAGCCGGCGGAGGCGGGACUCAGCGCGAGCCCGGAAAAGACGCGCCCGGAGGGGCGGGCGGAGCGGGG